Molecule: long non-coding RNA, 228 nt
Organism: Astyanax mexicanus (Mexican tetra)
Lineage: Eukaryota; Metazoa; Chordata; Actinopteri; Characiformes; Acestrorhamphidae
Exons: 3
Source: RefSeq, a predicted model, not a curated record
UGUGGAAAUUAGUUCUUUUUUACAGAACGAAUCUUUUACACUGUUCCAUUUACGGUGUUUUCUCCUCAGGUGCGCUCUGGAUCAGGUGCGCUCUGGAUCAGGUGUGCUCCGGAUCAGGUGCGCUCUGGAUCAGGUGCGCUCCGGAUCAGGUGUAUUUCCUGUAUCUCCUGUGGGAGGAGCUUCUUCUCGUCACAUGAAUCCGUUCAUUGAUCUGAUUCGCUGUGAAAC